RNAcentral lists this long non-coding RNA (314 nucleotides) under Brassica napus (rape). RNAcentral describes it as "long non-coding RNA (BNAP_LNC005385)". Lineage: Eukaryota; Viridiplantae; Streptophyta; Magnoliopsida; Brassicales; Brassicaceae. The record is from RNAcentral.
UAUCUUUAUUAUUUUGUAAUAUGUAUGAUAUUAUCCUUAAUAUCUGGUUAAUGAAAGAUCACUACCUUAUUUUUCUUCGAUUACCAACUAGCACCACUCUUCUUCCAUCUCUACCACUUUGCCCUCCGUCACCGUUACAAUAUGAUCAUUACCAAAUCCACAAUAUAUUUUGUAACUGCAUCUUUUUCUAUAAUCAUUAUCCCUUUUUCACAAUCAUCAUCACCUCAUUCAUACUCACAUUCAUCACUGAGCCACCAUCACCAUAGCCAGCCACCACAACCACCUCCAAAUCCAUAAUCUCAGCUACAUCUAUC